RNAcentral lists this unclassified non-coding RNA (230 nucleotides) under Hevea brasiliensis (rubber tree). Lineage: Eukaryota; Viridiplantae; Streptophyta; Magnoliopsida; Malpighiales; Euphorbiaceae. The record is from RNAcentral.
AAGGACUGGUUUCAAAAGCUCAAGCAAUGAUGAAAAUAAUGAUCCAAAAAGGCGUGAAGCCUGAUGUUAUCACCUACAAUUUAUUGAUGGACGGAUUUUUCUGUGUAAUCAAAUGGAUGAAGCUACAAAAUUAUUUGAUCAAAUGGUAAGUGGUGGCAUAGCUAAUGUCUGUAGCUACAACAUCUUGAUUAAUGGGUAUUGCAAGAGCAAAAUGAUUGAUGAAGUGAUGA